GCUGCUUAGAGCUGGCCUUUGUGCUUGCUCCAUGCUGGCAACACCUGCUAUCCUUCUGGCUGGAAUUCCAGCACAGCAAGACCAAGCCAAGCCCUACGCAUGGCUUCCUAGGUGGACUAGGGAAGGAGUCCACCCUCAGGCAGGUGAGAACUGACAACGAACUGCUGGGUGCUCGUUCCUUUCUGUGCUCACAGCUCAAAGGCCAAGGGAUGUCCUGCAGGAAGCCAAGAUCCACCUCAUCAAUGUGCAGCUCUGAACAGCAGCCAGUGAUAUGUGAGGGACAUCCACACCCACAACUUUUGUGCUGGCUACCUGGAGGGAGACAUGAACAUCUGCCAGAAGCUCUCCUUUACACUGAAGACCUAGGGGCAUAUAGCUGGAAACAACCUACCCAGAAAUUGAAGAGCAAGUAAAAUAUAUCAAAGAGACAAUGAAGCACAAGAGGAUGUCUGCACACAUGUCCUGCUCAGCCCUCUCUGGAAAGAAGAAUCAGGUGGGACCUAGGGCUUAGAAGUGAUAGCUGAAUCUCCCCGAGGGAAAAUGACAUCUCUAUGCAUCCCAAACUGCAAAUAAAGCAGCAUGCUGCGGCCACAGGAGCAACUUCUACCAUUUUCUAAUAGAGGGGGAGAGAUAAGUAUAAAUAGUAAGCUAGGAUUUGUGGUGGAAUUAUAAAGACCUUCAUGUGGUUUAUGACAACACUUUAAAUGUUACUGUCUUUCCGUGAACACUUGAAAAAGAUUUGUCUUUAAAAAAAUAAAAAUUAAAAAUUCCCACAAAUUUGUCAAAAACAGUCUUACUACAAUUUUACAGCAAUGUAAAAUAGUGUUGAUAUGCUGCAAAGCACUGUUCCAGGACAUUACAAUGCAUCUUAAAAGGGGAAUGAGGACCACUGUUUUCACUUUGAAAAACAGUCUAGUAUUUUCCCUCAUACAGAAAUCUUAGAAUGAGAGAGAAAUAGAGAAAUAAACAGCCAAAUGGUAGCUUUCUGUUUCUUUGCUGAUUUCCCUUUGCAAUAAAUAGACUGUGGUAUUUGCAGAUGUUGCCAUGGUUAGAGGAAAAGCAGGGUGUCUCAGCUCCUAGGUACCUGCAGCUGUGCUGAAAUUCCAGGACAACUGUAGCCUUUCCUAAUAUGUAUCUGUAAAGAGCCAAGAGUGAUGGUUGGAGAGGCACCAUCUAACUGAGUCUUUUGGUCAAGACUUUUACCUUCAUUCAGCAGUAGGGAUUUUUCAUCCCUACUAUUCUUCCAACUACUCAGACAAGAUACUAAAUGCCAGGUUGUUGCCAGAGGAAGAGCUAUUUGCCCAGCUGGUGGAAAAAUAUAAUGCUCAUUCUGCAAACCAUACUGAACACUAACCAAAAAGAGGACACAAAAUAGUGAACCAGACUAGCACUGCCAAGUCAGCUCCAAAUUUGGGAAGAAACAUCAGGUUCAAGCAGUCAGGUAUAACUUUAGGGCGGAUGACCAACAAGGACCACCAGAGGGACCCUCGGGACAAGAGUUUUCAGUUGCUCAUAAGUAUCACUGGUGUUUCAAGUGUACCCAAGAGUGGUUUAUAGCAUAAAUGAAUGAGGAAGUUCUUUGGGGGUCAGACACCAGUGAAGCAGGGAGCCAUGACAUAGUCUGUGCUCCAGCAGGGAUGUGAUUCAUCCUAGUGCUGCCCCUGGUACCACAUCUGUCCCAGCUGAGAGCCAAUGUACAUGUCACAGCCACACGUCCUAGCUCAGGAACAUGUGCACACUCACAUCAUGCAUGUGCUACCUCACUGUUGGCAUCCAACUCCCUCGGUGAGUAAAUCCAGGUGAGGUUCAGCAGACAGUUCCUUCUGGGGACUAGUUUCUGUACAUUAUGGACAUGGCUGUGCCUCACAACGCCUCCCAGUUCUGUUUGAUCAAACUUCCUCACUCACCUUAUACAACAGCUGGGGCUGCACAACACGUCUGGGAAAUCACAUUAAAAAAAACAUUCUUGCAUGCUGCAACACAGCCUCCUCGGUAUUUACUUGCAACUUAAAACAACAAAACGUCACUAAUACAAUCAAUUAUUAAUGAGUAAUUAAUUUUAUUCAUUAUAAUUAAUGAUUACUACUACAACAUCUCAAAGCCCAAAGGUCUGCAUAACCAGAAUCCAAAUGCUAGGUAGUACUGGGACAACCCAUCCAUUGUACAGAAGAAUAGUUUUGACCAAUGGGAACAUGAGCCCUUCAGUAUCACUUGGCAUUAAAGUGGUCAGCGAUCAGUACCACCACAUUUACAACAUACCAAAGUCUUCACUUUGUGUUCUUUUUUAUUUUCCCUUCCAUGAACAAGCACUACCUCAGAGUUGGACUAGCCUGACAGUGGAUGCUAUCUCAAUCCCAGAGCUGCUCACUUCUAUAGAGGAUUUCUGACAUCAUUUCCUAUAGAAAACUCAGCCAUGCAGCUGCAUUUUGGGCUAGAUCUGAUUAUGGUUUGGUUUUGAUAUGAAAAGAAGUAGCUAGCAACAGACAAUUUAGGGGGCACAGUUUCCUCAAGGAAAAUUUACGGCAACACCAUAAAGAGCAGGACUGGGAGAAGGAAGGGUAGCUGCCACUGCAGGGACAGCCAAACAGCCAGCAGCCAGGUUUCCACACUGUGUAACCACUGCAGUGUAUCUCUGCAGCCACACUGUUCAAUGGGGAGGGCUGAAAGCUUUUGAGAUAGACUAAAUGUGAAAAAAACAAAUGCCAUGUAUGCAAAUAAAUGUAAAACUGGCUGAAGGCUCAAAGGGAUAACCCGAGGUCAAAUUAGCAAAAUUUUGAAGGUCAUUUAAUUUCAUUAACUCAUAUGUAGCAUCUUCAAGUAAUUUUUAAGCGUGUUUUUCCUAUAAAAUAUAUGUUUUCAUUAAACGCAUCAUUACUUUUAUGGUCUCUGCAAUCAAUCUCCUUUUUCUUCCUUUUUAAACAUGAGAAACCAAUCAGACAGAGACACAAACAUUUAUAUUGAUGAGUUUCUUCCUAAGUGU
Molecule: long non-coding RNA, 2980 nt
Organism: Passer domesticus (house sparrow)
Lineage: Eukaryota; Metazoa; Chordata; Aves; Passeriformes; Passeridae
Exons: 3
Source: RefSeq, a predicted model, not a curated record